GACGAACGCUGGCGGCGUGCUUAACACAUGCAAGUCGAACGGAAAGGCCCUGCUUUUGUGGGGUGCUCGAGUUGCGAACGGGUGAGUAACACGUGAGUAACCUGUCCUUGACUUUGGGAUAACUUCAGGAAACUGGGGCUAAUACCGGAUAGGAGCUCCUGCUGCAUGGUGGGGGUGGGAAAGUUUCGGCGGUUGGGGAUGGACUCGCGGCUUAUCAGCUUGUUGGUUGGGUAGUGGAUUACCAAGGCUUUGACAGGUAGCCGGCCUGAGAGGGUGACCGGCCAAACUGCGACUGAGCUACGGCACAGACUAGUACGGGAGGCAGCGGAGGGGAAUAGUGUAUAAUGGGAGGAGGGAUGAUGUAGUACAGCCGCGCGCGGGAUGAGGGCCUUGGCGUUGUAUUCCGAUUCUGCCUGUGACGAAGCGUGAGUGACGGUACCGGGUAAAGAAGCACCGGCUAACUACGUG
RNAcentral lists this ribosomal RNA (468 nucleotides) under uncultured bacterium. RNAcentral describes it as "partial 16S ribosomal RNA". It matches the Rfam family "Bacterial small subunit ribosomal RNA", at positions 28 to 507 of the family's 1533-position model. The record is from RNAcentral.